CAACCCGGAUUGCACUGAUACCGACCAGCUAGCCCCCCCCCAAAAAUUAACCCACCACAAGUAUGACCCCUAAU
This 74-nucleotide transfer RNA is filed under the name Pseudanthias tuka (yellowstriped fairy basslet). RNAcentral describes it as "tRNA-Val". The record is from RNAcentral. Lineage: Eukaryota; Metazoa; Chordata; Actinopteri; Perciformes; Anthiadidae.